AUUGAACGCUGGCGGCAUGCCUUACACAUGCAAGUCGAACGGCAGCACGGGAGCUUGCUCCUGGUGGCGAGUGGCGAACGGGUGAGUAAUACAUCGGAACGUACCCAGUAGUGGGGGAUAACGCACCGAAAGGUGCGCUAAUACCGCAUACGACCUAAGGGUGAAAGCGGGGGACCGUAAGGCCUCGCGCUAUUGGAGCGGCAGAUGUCUGAUUAGCUAGUUGGCGGGGUAAAGGCCCACCAAGGCGACGAUCAGUAGCUGGUCUGAGCGGACGAUCAGCCACACUGGGACUGAGACACGGCCCAGACUCCUACGGGAGGCAGCAGUGGGGAAUUUUGGACUAUGGGGGCAACCCUGAUCCAGCAAUGCCGCGUGUGCGAAGAAGGCCUUCGGGUUGUAAAGCACUUUUGUCAGGGAAGAAAUCUUUUGGGCUAAUACCCCGGAAGGAUGACGGUACCUGAAGAAUAAGCACCGGCUAACUACGUGCCAGCCGCCGCGGUAA
This 502-nucleotide ribosomal RNA is filed under the name uncultured bacterium. RNAcentral's name for it is "partial 16S ribosomal RNA". It matches the Rfam family "Bacterial small subunit ribosomal RNA", at positions 29 to 523 of the family's 1533-position model. The record is from RNAcentral.